UACAGAGGUCCCAAGCGUUGUUCGGAUUCACUGGGCGUAAAGGGUGCGUAGGCGGUCGGGUAAGUCUGACGUGAAAUCCCGCAGCUCAACUCCGAAAUGGCAUUGGAAACUACCCAGCUCGAGGGUUGGAGGGGGGACUGGAAUGCUUGGUGUAGCAGUGAAAUGCGUAGAUAUCAAGCGGAACACCAGUGGCGAAGGCGAGUCCCUGGACAACUCCUGACACUGAGGCACGAAAGCUAGGGGAGCAAACAGG
This 253-nucleotide ribosomal RNA is filed under the name uncultured bacterium. RNAcentral describes it as "partial 16S ribosomal RNA". It matches the Rfam family "Bacterial small subunit ribosomal RNA", at positions 524 to 776 of the family's 1533-position model. The record is from RNAcentral.